GGGCCCGUGGCCUAGUUAGGUAAGGCGUCUGACUGAUAAUCAGAAGAUCAAGAGUUCAAAUCUCUUCGGGCCCACCA
Molecule: transfer RNA, 77 nt
Filed under: bacterium
Lineage: Bacteria
Also listed under: 2 other names
Description: tRNA-Ile
Rfam family: tRNA
About the family: Transfer RNA (tRNA) molecules are approximately 80 nucleotides in length. Their secondary structure includes four short double-helical elements and three loops (D, anti-codon, and T loops).
Source: RNAcentral